RNAcentral lists this long non-coding RNA (298 nucleotides) under Elaeis guineensis (African oil palm). Its description in RNAcentral is "long non-coding RNA (EGUI_LNC071928)". The record is from RNAcentral. Lineage: Eukaryota; Viridiplantae; Streptophyta; Magnoliopsida; Arecales; Arecaceae.
CCUAAAACCCAUGCACCAAAUCUCUACACUAGAGAUGUAAAAAUUUUUAUCUAACUCUUGAACAAAAAGGAGAAGAAAAAACCCAUAUCCAAACUAGGACAAAAGAGAGAGAGAGAAGGUCCUAACAACCAACAUUUGGUUGUUGGUAAGAAAGAAGAGAUAAGAGCAACCUUACCUCAUGUCAUGGACCCAUGAUGUCGUGCCCUCUUUUCCCUAGGAUUUUUCCAUGCACAAAUUCCUCUUUUUUUUGGUGUCAAAACCUGAUCACAUCAGCCCUUGUUCCCAUCCCAUAUGAUGC